AUUUUACUCAUUUUUAUGUGGUGCUGAGGUACAAACCCAGGGCCUCACACAUGCUAGGUGAAUGCUCUACCAGUGAGCCACAACCCUGGCCCCUGGGAAGGUAUUUUUGGUUGGACGUAUUGCCAAACUGAAUGAAACUGGGGUUCUAUUGUUGGUGUAGAAUAUCAAGAGGAGCAGAGAAUGGAUAUUUGCUAAGCCACCAGCAAUGUCUACUGCAGGACUAUGGUGGGGAGGUGGGAGGAAGAGCUAGGGAAGGAGCAAGGCCACCAAUACCUCAGCAGUGCAAAAGCUGGGGUGUCAGGUCAAGAGUUUGUAAACAGUGCUCAAACUAUUUUUACCUCUUUCUAAAUGGGGCUUUCUUGAUUCAGCAAAUACCCAAAAUGUUUCCUGCUCCUCUCAUUUGUACCCUCACUUGAAUCUCCUUUACAGAUGCCCAACUCAUGAGACCAUACCAUUUUCCUUUAUUUGUACACAAUUCUCUCUGGCUGUUUAGGGGGGAAAGAAAGAGAGGGAUAAUUAAAAAAUACCUAAUUACUCCAGAUUGCAUUAGUUCUACUUUGGUGUCCCAGCAGGGAAUUCUAUCCUGGAAAACUCAUGAAUGCCUGACCUGGAGAAUAGUAGUGAAAAAAAUGUCGCAGGAGACCAGCGGUUUGAAUUAUUGAUCAGAAAGGGGUUUUCCAGGCUCCUCUGGCUUAAUUACACACUCUGAGAGGCGAAGCAGAUGGAGGGAGAGACAGACAAUUCUGUGGAUUUACAGUGGCUGAGAGAUUGGGGACGGCUGUAUUGCAUCCUCCUUUUCAUGAAGCUGGAACUAUGCAGCUCAGGGACAGUGGUUCCCCCCAAAAGGGAGCUUGGUGGAGGAAUUCAAUGAAUGGAUAAUCAGAAUCCCUGCUGGUUCUUUGACAAGGAGAUGUCUAGGAUUCUAGGAAUAAAUACCAAGCUCCCUCCAUCCCCUUGAGUGAGCAGGGAGGGUGGGUGCAGGGCAGUGGGGGUGGUGAGGUAC
This 1003-nucleotide long non-coding RNA is filed under the name Marmota monax (woodchuck). The record is from RNAcentral. Lineage: Eukaryota; Metazoa; Chordata; Mammalia; Rodentia; Sciuridae.